This 506-nucleotide ribosomal RNA is filed under the name uncultured bacterium. Its description in RNAcentral is "partial 16S ribosomal RNA". It matches the Rfam family "Bacterial small subunit ribosomal RNA", at positions 29 to 523 of the family's 1533-position model. The record is from RNAcentral.
AGUGAACGCUGGCGGUAGGCCUAACACAUGCAAGUCGAACGGCAGCACAGGAGAGCUUGCUCUCUGGGUGGCGAGUGGCGGACGGGUGAGGAAUACAUCGGAAUCUACUUUUUCGUGGGGGAUAACGUAGGGAAACUUACGCUAAUACCGCAUACGACCUACGGGUGAAAGCAGGGGACCUUCGGGCCUUGCGCGAUUGAAUGAGCCGAUGUCGGAUCAGCUAGUUGGCGGGGUAAAGGCCCACCAAGGCGACGAUCCGUAGCUGGUCUGAGAGGAUGAUCAGCCACACUGGAACGGAGACACGGUCCAGACUCCUACGGGAGGCAGCAGUGGGGAAUAUUGGACAAUGGGCGCAAGCCUGAUCCAGCCAUACCGCGUGGGUGAAGAAGGCCUUCGGGUUGUAAAGCCCUUUUGUUGGGAAAGAAAUCCAGCUGGCUAAUACCCGGUUGGGAUGACGGUACCCAAAGAAUAAGCACCGGCUAACUUCGUGCCAGCAGCCGCCGCAG